UACGAAGGGGGCUAGCGUUGCUCGGAAUCACUGGGCGUAAAGCGCACGUAGGCGGCUUUUUAAGUCAGGGGUGAAAUCCUGGAGCUCAACUCCAGAACUGCCUUUGAUACUGAGAAGCUUGAGUCCGGGAGAGGUGAGUGGAACUGCGAGUGUAGCGGUGAAAUGCGUAGAUAUUGGGAGGAACACCAGUGGCGAAGGCGGCUCACUGGACCGGUUCUGACGCUGAGGCGCGAAAGCGUGGGGAGCAAACGGG
RNAcentral lists this ribosomal RNA (253 nucleotides) under uncultured bacterium. Its description in RNAcentral is "partial 16S ribosomal RNA". It matches the Rfam family "Bacterial small subunit ribosomal RNA", at positions 524 to 776 of the family's 1533-position model. The record is from RNAcentral.